CCUACGGGAGGCAGCAGUCGAGAAUUUUUCUCAAUGGGGGCAACCCUGAAGGAGCGACGCCGCGUGGAGGAUGAAGGUCUUCGGAUUGUAAACUCCUGUCAUUGGUGAACAAGGGCCGCCCGUUAACUGCGGGAGGCUUUGAUAGUAGCCGAAGAGGAAGAGACGGCUAACUCUGUGCCAGCAGCCGCGGUAAUACAGAGGUCUCAAGCGUUGUUCGGAUUCAUUGGGCGUAAAGGGUGCGUAGGCGGCGGGGCAAGUCUGAUGUGAAAUCCCGGGGCUCAACCCCGGAACUGCAUUGGAUACUGCUCUGCUUGAGCACUGGAGAGGAGACUGGAAUUUACGGUGUAGCAGUGAAAUGCGUAGAUAUCGUAAGGAAGGCCAGUGGCGAAGGCGAGUCUCUGGACAGUUGCUGACGCUGAGGCACGAAGGCCAGGGGAGCA
This 440-nucleotide ribosomal RNA is filed under the name uncultured bacterium. RNAcentral's name for it is "bacterial SSU rRNA". It matches the Rfam family "Bacterial small subunit ribosomal RNA", at positions 338 to 770 of the family's 1533-position model. The record is from RNAcentral.